RNAcentral lists this ribosomal RNA (497 nucleotides) under uncultured bacterium. RNAcentral's name for it is "partial 16S ribosomal RNA". It matches the Rfam family "Bacterial small subunit ribosomal RNA", at positions 28 to 507 of the family's 1533-position model. The record is from RNAcentral.
GAUGAACGCUGGCGGCGUGCCUAAUACAUGCAAGUCGAGCGAACGGACGAGAAGCUUGCUUCUCUGAUGUUAGCGGCGGACGGGUGAGUAACACGUGGAUAACCUACCUAUAAGACUGGGAUAACUUCGGGAAACCGGAGCUAAUACCGGAUGAUAUUUUGAACCGCAUGGUUCAAAAGUGAAAGACGGUCUUGCUGUCACUUAUAGAUGGAUCCGCGCUGCAUUAGCUAGUUGGUAAGGUAACGGCUUACCAAGGCAACGAUGCAUAGCCGACCUGAGAGGGUGAUCGGCCACACUGGAACUGAGACACGGUCCAGACUCCUACGGGAGGCAGCAGUAGUGAAUCUUCCGCAAUGGGCGAAAGCCUGACGGAGCAACGCCGCGUGAGUGAUGAAGGUCUUCGGAUCGUAAAACUCUGUUAUUAGGGAAGAACAUAUGUGUAAGUAACUGUGCACAUCUUGACGGUACCUAAUCAGAAAGCCACGGCUAACUACGUG